UUUAUGGAGAGUUUGAUCCUGGCUCAGGAUGAACGCUGGCGGCGUGCCUAAUACAUGCAAGUCGAGCGAACGGACGAGAAGCUUGCUUCUCUGAUGUUAGCGGCGGACGGGUGAGUAACACGUGGAUAACCUACCUAUAAGACUGGGAUAACUUCGGGAAACCGGAGCUAAUACCGGAUAAUAUUUUGAUCUGCAUGGUUCAAAAGUAAAAGACGGUCUUGCUGUCACUUAUAGAUGGAUCCGCGCUGCAUUAGCUAGUUGGUAAGGUAACGGCUUACCAAGGCAACGAUGCAUAGCC
This 298-nucleotide ribosomal RNA is filed under the name Staphylococcus aureus. Its description in RNAcentral is "partial 16S ribosomal RNA". It matches the Rfam family "Bacterial small subunit ribosomal RNA", at positions 1 to 288 of the family's 1533-position model. Lineage: Bacteria; Bacillati; Bacillota; Bacilli; Caryophanales; Staphylococcaceae. The record is from RNAcentral.